CAGCACCAGACCAAUCUCACUCCUCGCUUAGCCUGCACAUUUAGAAAUACAUGCAGGGCGUGAGUACAUAAUACUCAGUGGGCAAACGCCGAAAAACAAGAAAGGUGCUCUUAGAGCUAUAGGUUUGAAGCUUGCCACAUCUCAGCAAUACACAGGAAUAAGUUAGCGUAAAUGAACCUGUGUAAGCAGUUUUAAUAAUCAUGAUAUCAUAAAGAAACGAUAGCGCUAUCAAAGUACUCAUCAUGUAUGUACCACAUCUACAACUCAUCAUCAUCAAAGGUACUGAGAAGUAGGCCUCCCUCUCAAGUACCGUGACCGGCCGAUUCGCUCAACGGCUCACAGUCACCUCAGUGUACACUAGCCCUGGCAGGAUAGCUAUCAACUGCCCAGGACCCGAAUUCGUCUCAUCUCAUCAGUAGAGGGUAACAUACAAGCUCAACAUCAAAAAUUGGCAAGUCAAACAUUUCUCAACAUCAUUUAUCUCAAAUUAUUUGAUAAGCUCAUAACAUCAUCAAAUCAUCAAAUCAUUUUAGAAAGCUCGGGUAGUAUAUGUAUACUCAAGAUAUUGCCCACCUGAAGACCUUACUCAAAAACUCCCGUCAAAGCGGAGUUACUUACUUCCCUGCUCUGCUCGUGUCUUCAGGGAUCAUCGUCAUCAUCGAAGGUUCAUGUCAUAAAAUGAAUCUCGAUUAGAACUCAACGACAAAAACUCAUGCCUUAACUCAUGCUCUAUCUUAUAUUCUAUCUCUUAAUCGACUCUACAUAAACUUCUUCACUCAUUUCAAAUCCUUAAGUCCAAGGAUAGGUUUCAAGAAAAUCAUGGUUCUAAGUCUCGAUUUAUCUCUCAUAUAAGACUCGUUUAAUCUCAUUAAAACACUUAGGCAACACAAACACAUAAGGCACAUAAGAAAAUACAAUCAAACAUCAACAAAUCAUGUUCUGUUUUCCCACUGACUCAACUUCAAAAUUUAACACGUUCUGACUCCGACAUCUCCUGGACUCCAGACUCAUACCAAAAGAAAGGUAUUUGAGUCUAGUUUCAUUUAAAAAAACGUAGAGUCAGAAACUCCAAGUGGUUUGGGAGAUAUGGCGUUUUUACCACAGUCUACCAUAUUCGGCAGUUUUGAGCAAUCGGAAACAUUGAUUUUUGAAAAAUAGUAAACGUUCUCAAACUGAGCUCAAAUUUGGUGGAUAUCUAGCCCAUACAGUAAGGUUGAUACCAUAAAAAUUUGGAAAGCUAGAUCACACAGGAAGCUACUGAAAUGAAUGACUUUGUCCCCUGUUCUCUGAAAUUCCCGGUAGAAAUGUGCAGAUUUGGUUUUGCAUUUUAUAAAACUAGUAAAUCAAGUCCAAAUGACUUGAAAUUUUACCGGUAUGCUCAAGACUCAUGUAGGGACAUGCUGUAAAAUUUUCAAAGCCAUUAGACAUCGACAACCCGUCGAUCACAGUAGGUCAGUAGCCUACGAAAAAUCACCAAAACUCAUCUCAAACUCUUAAAUGCUCAAUUCAACAUUUCUUCAAAGAAAACCAAUCAAAGUUCAUUUUAAACACAUAUAACACUCAAAAACAUUCAAAAACAUUUAAAAUACUCAUCAUACUCAAAUUAACUCUCCUCUUUUACAUCUUAACUCAAAUCUCAAGGAAAACGUUUCUACAAACGUAUCAAGUCAAUCCUCUUCUCAAUUUCAUGCUUAAAAACACUCAAUCAUUCAAAAUGACCUCAUACAUCAUAUAACUCAUUUUAUACAUAUAAAUCCCCUAUAAUCAUACCAACCAAACUUUAAUAAAAACUCAUAUAUUCACAUAAACUCUCAACAAAAACAUGACAACUUCACAAAAUGGUCAUAAAGCAAAUUAGACCUCAUUUUAUCAAUUAUUGACUUCUCAAAAUAUGAAAACUCAAAAAUUCUCAUAAACUAACUCAAGUCAAAAUUUUACUUAGUUUCCAAUAGACUUAAUCAAACAUAUUAAAACACCAACAUCAUGCUCAAUUACACAUAUCUUAAGCCAAAUCAUUUAUUAAACACAUAGACAAGAAAAUCCCAAUUUUUACCAAACUAAACUCUUUGACAUUUUAUGAACUCACAUGGAUCUUUAAUCUCAUCAUAUAUCUAUUAAUCUUAACCCAUUUAACUCACAUAUAAACCAUCAAUUUACAAAUAAGGGCAUAUAUACACAUAUCCCUAAUUUUAGUAAACUAACUCACAUCAAAAACUCCAAUGGACAUCAUAUACUCAAAUUACUCCAUCAAUCAUCAUCAUAUACAUCUCAUAGACUCAUUUACACCAUCAAUUUAUCUAUUAACUCAUUGACUCAAAAUUUCCCAUUUUUGGGUAAACUAACUUCCAUCGAAAUUUGAAUCUCAAAGCAUAGCUUUUCAAAACACACAUCAAUCAUCACCAAACAUAUCAUAGAUCACUUUUCUCACCCCAAUUCAAGGAAAGAAAAAGAAAUAUUUUUGAAGGGUAAGAUACCCAUUUUUUCGAAAAUUUGAGGAAAAGAAAAGGGGUGAUUUUCUUGCUUCAAUCUUUCAAGAAUACUCAUAUACAAACUCACACAAAUUAUAUCUAUGAAUAUAGAGAUCACUUACCCAAGCUUACACCAAAUAUCAAAUUUUCUCUCUCUAGUCUUGAAGCCAAUCUUCAAGGAUUCUCUUGAAUUCAAGUUGAUAAGAGGUGUUUAGGUGGGAUUUAGAGGGUGAUUUGUGUGUUUGGCAUAUUUUGGUGAAGCUUCGGAGGUCUCAUCCAUGGUUGACAAUGGUGGAAAGUAGAGAGAUGAGGGAGAGAGGGUGUUGGUCGAAUGGAGUGAG
RNAcentral lists this long non-coding RNA (2809 nucleotides) under Salvia miltiorrhiza (redroot sage). RNAcentral describes it as "long non-coding RNA (SMIL_LNC000432)". The record is from RNAcentral. Lineage: Eukaryota; Viridiplantae; Streptophyta; Magnoliopsida; Lamiales; Lamiaceae.